This is a long non-coding RNA of Myotis daubentonii (Daubenton's bat), 675 nucleotides long. RefSeq lists it as uncharacterized. Lineage: Eukaryota; Metazoa; Chordata; Mammalia; Chiroptera; Vespertilionidae. The record is from RefSeq and is a predicted model, not a curated record.
UGCAUCUCCAUUAUGACCGACCCUAAGUAAAAUUCACCCGCAGGCUAGGGUCUGGCCACUGUCGCCGCAAGACAGGAGCUAUGGGCAGCCGCUGAGAGAGCAGUCGAGGCAGAGCAUCACACAGGACACCAUGCCUGGGGUCUAAGUUUGCCCAAGAGGCCCUGCUGUCUUGGUGCAGUUGACCCCAGGUAAUGGAGGUCAUGGAUGUGGCUGAAAAACAAGAAUUAGGAUGAAAAAGCCCACAUAGCUUUUAGCUCCUGGACUCACUGGCCUGUGAUCAUCAUCCUGGUCGCCGAAGGAGGAACACACGAGGCCAGAGUGGUGAGGGAUUACGAAUUUAUUUGAUCAUCCACACAUCAGGUGGCGGAGCCUGGAUGGCUCCAGUACCCAGUGAGGGGCGUCAGUGGCUUUUAAAGGACUUUUGGUGGGAUUUUUCUGGGCGGAGACUUCUUUAUGCAUACCCAGAGAGGAAAGAAUGGAAUGUGGUCACCCACAAGCGAAAAGUGGUCUUCAGCAAAGGGAAUAUCCAUAGUGAAAUGACCUGAAAAGCCAGUUCCUGGGGGAAGGGUAUCAACUCAAUUGUUCCAUCGAACCUAACACUUUCAUCACUCUUAAUCAGAGAAAGCCUUCUCCAAUGUAGAGAUUUAAUAAAUAUUUGUUUUCUUGCAGUUUUAA